This 317-nucleotide ribosomal RNA is filed under the name uncultured eukaryote. Its description in RNAcentral is "partial large subunit ribosomal RNA". It matches the Rfam family "Eukaryotic large subunit ribosomal RNA", at positions 40 to 350 of the family's 3401-position model. The record is from RNAcentral.
AUAUUAAUAAGCGGAGGAAAAGAAACUAACAAGGAUUCCCCUAGUAACGGCGAGUGAAGCGGGAACAGCUCAAAUUUGAAAUCUCCGGCGGCAACGUCGGCGAAUUGUAGUUUAGAGAAGCGCCUUCUGGGGCAGACGCCGUCCAAGUUCUUUGGAACAGGACAUCAGAGAGGGUGAGAAUCCCGUAUCUGGCGGCGAGUUUCUGCUUCUGUACGGGGCGUUUUCGAAGAGUCGGGUUGUUUGGGAAUGCAGCCCAAAAUGGGUGGUAAAUUUCAUCUAAAGCUAAAUACAGGCACGAGACCGAUAGCGCACAAGUA